CUUUCAUCACAGAACAUCACUGUUUUGUCAUUUGUUGCAGCCAAAAUUAUACACAUAUGGAGACACCUGCUGGUUGCUGCUCAUGCUUCUGUUGACUUCCCCCUGUUGACCAAGACAGGUCUCAAUGGGCCAGUGACAGGAGCGAUAAGGGACUAACUGAAAAGGAAGAGAGUGUGUUAACUGAAGCUAGUCCAGGUGUAUAUAAUGCAUUCUGCCAGAGCCAACCCAUUCAGCAUGAAUAAAACGUGAGCAUGAUGAGUACCUGCCAGAACCUGCCACCUGGUUCCAACGGUCACCUAAAAGGAACUUUCAUUGGUCGCGUUCCCCUGCUCAGACGUUGCAUGCAUCAACCAAUGGUUGCGUGCCACGUCAUCGACUGUGCUGUCAGGCACCAGAUGGCUCUAACAUAUGUGGUUAGCUGAUAGGUUAAAUAUCUAUCCAGGCGUUGUGUAAAAUCUGGCUUCAGCAACAUCUGAGUAUGGGUACAUGAACAUUGUCUUAAAAAACAAAUAUGGCCACUCAGAACAGACAGUGGAGCAG
Molecule: long non-coding RNA, 540 nt
Filed under: Salmo salar (Atlantic salmon)
Lineage: Eukaryota; Metazoa; Chordata; Actinopteri; Salmoniformes; Salmonidae
Description: lncRNA (ENSSSAG00000093045.1)
Source: RNAcentral